CAGGACCAACACUCUGGACAGCAAACGGGUGAGAGAGAGCGGGAGAGAGAGAAAUAGACAGUGGGAGAGAGAGAGAGAGAGAGACAGGACCAACACACUGGACAGCAAACGGGUGAGAGAGAGCAGGAGAGAGAGAGAUAGACAGUGGGAGAGGGAGAGAGAGAGAAACAGGGGGAAAGGGGAGAGAGGGAGAGAGAGAGAUGGAGAUAUACACUACCCGUCAACAGUUUUAGAACACCUACUCAUUCAAGGGUUUUUCUUUAUUUGGACUAUUUUCUACAUUGUAGAAUAAUAGUGAAGACAUCAACACUAUGAAAUAACACAUUUGGAAUCAUGUAGUAACCAAAAAAGUGUUAAACAAAUCCAAAUAUAUUUUAUAUUUAGCCAUCCUUUGCCUUGAUGACAGCUUUCCACACUCUUGGCAUUCUCUGAAC
Long non-coding RNA from Oncorhynchus tshawytscha (Chinook salmon), 434 nucleotides. The record is from Ensembl. Lineage: Eukaryota; Metazoa; Chordata; Actinopteri; Salmoniformes; Salmonidae.